AUGCGCCUCACCCCCUUGUCCCCUACUAUGUCAAGGCCUUGGAUGUCCACAGGUCCGCUCCCGGCCUCACCCACCCCGGCCUGGGAGGGCCCCCUAUUUCUCACCAAUACCCAGGGAAUUAAUUCCUUGCGACGCAAAGGGCAGGGGCAGAACUGGACAGAAAGCUCCAGGGUGGGCGGGAGGAAGCUAAAAGCCCAAAUUCUCAGGGGCGCAGGGGUGAAGAACUCUACCCGCUCCCAUCCUCCGGGUGUCCCCAUUUUGAAGAUGGGGAAACUGAGGCCUGGGGAAGGGGAGGGGCCGACCGCAAAGGAAGCCCGAGCCCGGUUCUCCCCGCUGCCUGGGAGACUCAGGCCGGACCACGUUGCCCGGUCGGGAGGGGGAACUUUAGAGAAGUCAAGGGGCAUUCGGGCUGCACCCUUCUCCCCAGAACUCCCUGGCACUGGGUCCGGGGGUUGGGCGGGGCGAUGCCCGGGCCCGGUGGGGCCAGUAGGACCACUAGGAGGCUGCCGGCGGAGCUGGGCCAGGGUCCAUGGGGCCGGAGAGGGAGCCGCGGAGUGGCUGCAGCCUCAGCUAUGUCAACAAUUUCCUCUCUUCUCCCCCUUUCCCUCCAACAGACCCGGCAGCCUCAGUCCCGGAGGGGCGGGCACACGGUCUCCCCACCGCCCACUCAUCCCAGGCCCAGGGACCCGGCCAGAGUCAGGGCCAGGCCCGAAUCCUCAGUCCUCACCGAAUUCACGCAGAAAACUUCGAGGUGCGACACGUGUGCCCAGAGAUCAGACAGCUCAGUCGUGGAAAUGGACACCGGCCCCUCAAGCGGGCUACCGUGGCCAUCCAGGCCCAAAUCCGGCCGGAGCCACUGCUCACAUACGUUGCUCACCCGGGCUUGAAAACGGACCCCAGUUGCCUUCUGCACUCGCUCAGGUGAGCACGUACACACCCACGUGCACCCCUGAACCCACCAGUCCCUGUGCGGGCAGGGGGAGCCGCCGUACAGGGGUCAGACCGAGACAGGCCAGGGGAGAGGGGAGGGUCCUGGGGAUAGGGGGAGAGGAAGUUGGAGGAUGGAGAAGCCCGGGGAGGGGGCGUGGGGCCGAGUGGCCCUGGCAGCUGAGCCCCCCAUCUCCCAACAAACCCUCCAGGGUCAUCCCCGGGCCUGUCCGAGGGGGCCCGUUCAGCCCUGGCCCGAGCCCGGCUCUCCUUAGCUCCGCAGUGCCGGGGGCCCAGCCGGGCAGGACGGUCCCCGCGGGACCACCCCCCAUCCCUCAGUUACCUCACCUGUAA
This 1281-nucleotide long non-coding RNA is filed under the name Ornithorhynchus anatinus (platypus). RNAcentral's name for it is "lncRNA (ENSOANG00000040698.1)". The record is from RNAcentral. Lineage: Eukaryota; Metazoa; Chordata; Mammalia; Monotremata; Ornithorhynchidae.